RNAcentral lists this ribosomal RNA (253 nucleotides) under uncultured bacterium. Its description in RNAcentral is "partial 16S ribosomal RNA". It matches the Rfam family "Bacterial small subunit ribosomal RNA", at positions 524 to 776 of the family's 1533-position model. The record is from RNAcentral.
UACGUAGGGGGCGAGCGUUAUUCGGAAUUAUUGGGCGUAAAGGGCGCGUAGGCGGUUAGGCAAGUCGGAGGUGAAAUCCCUCGGCUCAACUGAGGAACUGCCUUUGAAACUGUCUAGCUCGAGGCCGGGAGGGGGUUGCGGAAUUCCCAGUGUAGCGGUGAAAUGCGCAGAUAUCAGGAAGAACACCCGUGGCUAAGGCGGCGCUCUAGGACGGUACUGACGCUGAGACGCGAAAGCGUGGGGAGCGAACAGG